RNAcentral lists this ribosomal RNA (450 nucleotides) under uncultured bacterium. RNAcentral's name for it is "partial 16S ribosomal RNA". It matches the Rfam family "Bacterial small subunit ribosomal RNA", at positions 354 to 796 of the family's 1533-position model. The record is from RNAcentral.
GUGGGGAAUAUUGGACAAUGGGCGCAAGCCUGAUCCAGCCAUACCGCGUGGGUGAAGAAGGCCUUCGGGUUGUAAAGCCCUUUUGUUGGGAAAGAAAUCCUGUCGGUUAAUACCUGGCGGGGAUGACGGUACCCAAAGAAUAAGCACCGGCUAACUUCGUGCCAGCAGCCGCGGAAAUACGAAGGGUGCAAGCGUUACUCGGAAUUACUGGGCGUAAAGCGUGCGUAGGUGGUGGUUUAAGUCCGUUGUGAAAGCCCUGGGCUCAACCUGGGAAUUGCAGUGGAUACUGGAUCACUAGAGUGUGGUAGAGGGAUGCGGAAUUUCUGGUGUAGCAGUGAAAUGCGUAGAGAUCAGAAGGAACAUCCGUGGCGAAGGCGGCAUCCUGGGCCAACACUGACACUGAGGCACGAAAGCGUGGGGAGCAAACAGGAUUAGAUACCCGUGUAGUCC